RNAcentral lists this unclassified non-coding RNA (323 nucleotides) under uncultured fungus. RNAcentral describes it as "partial contains small subunit ribosomal RNA, internal transcribed spacer 1, and 5.8S ribosomal RNA". The stretch from base 1 to 73 matches the Rfam family "Eukaryotic small subunit ribosomal RNA", at positions 1759 to 1831 of the family's 1831-position model. The record is from RNAcentral. Lineage: Eukaryota; Fungi.
ACAAACUUGGUCAUUUAGAGGAAGUAAAAGUCGUAACAAGGUUUCCGUAGGUGAACCUGCGGAAGGAUCAUUAAAAAAGUUUGGAUAUGAACUCUCAUUCCAAGUUUCCACUCAGCGUACCUGUCCACUGUAAGCUUCCGUUUGGCGCGGGUCUUAGGAUCCCCUCCUAUCGAGUCCAAUAGCGGCUCGGUUGGGAGUGUCCAGACGGGAGCCAAUAGCAAACCCAAUCUAUUAGUUGUAUGUCAUGUCUGAUAUGUUGCAAAGCAAUAUUUAAAACUUUCAACAACGGAUCUCUUGGUUCUCGCAUCGAUGAAGAACGCAGC